UUGAGUUUUCAGCACCUAUAACGUUUUAAUCGAUUAAAACCGUGCGUUUUUUAUUCUGAACAACAAAUAUAAAAUAUGAAGGUACAAGAAUCAAAACCUACUACAAAUCUAAGUCCUAAACAAUUAAACUACAAUUAUUAGAAAAGCUUUUAUUAACAAAAAUAAAUCUUCAAAGGAUCUUCAUGAAUCUUGGUAAAUCUUGACUUGAUUUGGGCAUCAUCAAAACUUCAUCUUCACCAUUUUGCUAACAUUCUCCCCCUUUUUGAUUAUGAUAAAAAACUCCUUUGAAUUAAAGCUUUUUGUAAUAAUCUGAGUAAAAACACAACUUAUGGAAGAAAAAAACAUUAGAGAAUAAUAAUAAGCUUUAAACAUUUUCUCCCCCUUUUUAAUCAUAAUUAAAAAGUUGUGUUUCAUGUUCUCCCUGUAAGAUAAUACUCCCCCU
Molecule: long non-coding RNA, 442 nt
Filed under: Vigna radiata
Lineage: Eukaryota; Viridiplantae; Streptophyta; Magnoliopsida; Fabales; Fabaceae
Description: long non-coding RNA (VRAD_LNC018530)
Source: RNAcentral